UGCAGUCAUGUCAAAUUCAGGUGUACAUUUCCAUGGUGCUUACUGGCUUAAUGGCUGCUACAGUAAAUUUGUAGUUCGUGGGCCCUAGAUCCUUAUCUCUGGGUGCUGGGGAUAAGCAUGAUUCUACAAACAUAU
Small nucleolar RNA from Protopterus annectens (West African lungfish), 135 nucleotides. RefSeq annotates it as small nucleolar RNA SNORA5. The transcript has a single exon. Lineage: Eukaryota; Metazoa; Chordata; Ceratodontiformes; Protopteridae. The record is from RefSeq and is a predicted model, not a curated record.